UGGUCCAGGGGGUCCUGCAACAACGAUGACUCAGGUUAGUCAAUUUUACAACAUCAGCUCCUCAGGCUGUAGGGGGGGGAGCCCACUCAAUUAUUCUAUCUUAUACUGCUCCCCGCCGCGGAAGAUAUUGAAUGAAAAGAAGAAGAUAGCGGGAAGCGAGGUGACCUGGCUCCCUCCGCUUCAAAGAUGAUUAAAGAUUUGAUUGAGUGAUUGAAAUUUGCAAGCAAAGGGGAGCGAGAUGACAAGAUGAUUGAAGAGCUUCACCUUUUUAUCUUUA
This is a non-coding RNA of Caenorhabditis elegans, 277 nucleotides long. The record is from Ensembl. Lineage: Eukaryota; Metazoa; Nematoda; Chromadorea; Rhabditida; Rhabditidae.